This 387-nucleotide ribosomal RNA is filed under the name uncultured bacterium. Its description in RNAcentral is "bacterial SSU rRNA". It matches the Rfam family "Bacterial small subunit ribosomal RNA", at positions 28 to 417 of the family's 1533-position model. The record is from RNAcentral.
GACGAACGCUGGCGGCGUGCUUAACACAUGCAAGUCGAACGGAAAGGCUCCUUCGGGAGUGCUCGAGUGGCGAACGGGUGAGUAACACGUGGGUGAUCUGCCCUGCACUUUGGGAUAAGCCUGGGAAACUGGGUCUAAUACCGGAUAGGACCACAGCCUGCAUGGGUGGUGGUGGAAAGCUAUUUGUGGUGUGGGAUGAGCCCGCGGCCUAUCAGCUUGUUGGUGGGGUGANGGCCUACCAAGGCUGCGACGGGUAGCCGGCCUGAGAGGGUGUCCGGCCACACUGGGACUGAGAUACGGCCCAGACUCCUACGGGAGGCAGCAGUGGGGAAUAUUGCACAAUGGGCGCAAGCCUGAUGCAGCGACGCCGCGUGGGGAUGACGGCCU